RNAcentral lists this ribosomal RNA (437 nucleotides) under uncultured bacterium. RNAcentral's name for it is "partial 16S ribosomal RNA". It matches the Rfam family "Bacterial small subunit ribosomal RNA", at positions 28 to 507 of the family's 1533-position model. The record is from RNAcentral.
GAUGAACGCUGGCGGCAUGCCUAACACAUGCAAGUCGGACGGGAAGUGGUGUUUCCUGUGGCGGACGGGUGAGUAACGCGUAAGAACCUGCCCUUGGGAGGGGCACAACAACUGGAAACGGCAGCUACUACCCCGUAGACUGAGGAGCAAAAGGAGGAAUCUGCCCGAGGAGGGGCUCGCGUCUGAUUAGCUAGUUGGUGAGGCAAUAGCCUACCAAGGCGAUGAUCAGUAGUGGGUCCGAGAGGAUGAUCAGCCACACUGGGACUGAGACACGGACCAGACUCCUACGGGAGGCAGCCGUGGGGAAUUUUCCGCAAUGGGCGAAAGCCUGACGGAGCAAUGCCGCGGGGAGGUAGAAGGCCCACGGGUCGUGAACUUCUUUUCCCGGAGAAGAAGCAAUGACGGUAUCUGAGGAAUAAGCAUCGGCUAACUCUGUG